RNAcentral lists this ribosomal RNA (393 nucleotides) under uncultured bacterium. RNAcentral describes it as "bacterial SSU rRNA". It matches the Rfam family "Bacterial small subunit ribosomal RNA", at positions 140 to 518 of the family's 1533-position model. The record is from RNAcentral.
GGGAUAGCCCAGGGAAACCUGGAUUAAUACCGGAUGGAGACGGGACCCGCGAAGGCGGGACCCGGGAAAGGCGCUGCGGCGCCGCCGGGGGAUGAGUCUGCGUCCCAUUAGCUAGACGGCGGGGUAACGGCCCACCGUGGCGACGAUGGGUAGCCGGCCUGAGAGGGUGACGGCCACAUUGGAACUGAGACACGGUCCAGACUCCUACGGGAGGCAGCAGCUAAGAAUCUUCCGCAAUGGGCGAAAGCCUGACGGAGCGACGCCCGCGUGAACGAAGAAGGCCGUGAGGUUGUAAAGUUCUUUUCGGGAGGGGGAACAACCGUGGCAGGGAAUGGCCGCGGGUAUGACGUGAAUCCCGGAAUAAGCCCCGGCUAACUACGUGCCAGCCGCUGC